RNAcentral lists this ribosomal RNA (494 nucleotides) under uncultured bacterium. Its description in RNAcentral is "partial 16S ribosomal RNA". It matches the Rfam family "Bacterial small subunit ribosomal RNA", at positions 28 to 523 of the family's 1533-position model. The record is from RNAcentral.
GAUGAACGCUAGCGGUAGGCUUAACACAUGCAAGUCGAGGGGUAUAGUUCUUCGGAACUAGAGACCGGCGCACGGGUGCGUAACGCGUAUGCAAUCUACCUUUUACAGGGGAAUAGCCCAGAGAAAUUUGGAUUAAUGCCCCAUAGUAUAGUUUAUUCGCAUGAGUAGAUUAUUAAAGUUCCAACGGUAAAAGAUGAGCAUGCGUCCCAUUAGCUAGAUGGUAAGGUAACGGCUUACCAUGGCGACGAUGGGUAGGGGUCCUGAGAGGGAGAUCCCCCACAAUGGGACUGAGACACGGACCAGACUCCUACGGGAGGCAGCAGUGAGGAAUAUUGGUCAAUGGACGCAAGUCUGAACCAGCCAUGCCGCGUGCAGGAUGACGGUCCUAUGGAUUGUAAACUGCUUUUGUACGAGAAGAAACACUGCUACGUGUAGCAGCUUGACGGUAUCGUAAGAAUAAGGAUCGGCUAACUCCGUGCCAGCCGCCGCCGUAA